GAUGCGGGGAAAGGGGGGCGUCGUCAUGGCAACAACGGGAGCCCCCCGGACCGGCCGCGCAGCCCCGGGCCGCGGGGCCAGGGUUAGACGGGACGGGAGAGCACGGAGCCACGGGAAAGUGGGAGUGGAAGGAACCAAGGCUGGAAGCACAAGGGCCAAAUGUACAAAAAGCUGCUGAGAAGAACCCUCGCUGUGAUUUGGAUGGGCUGGAGAGAGGUGACUGCUUGCUCACCCUGACAGCCAGCUCUGGCUGCUCCAAACCUGGGGCACAGAGUGUUCCUGCUCAUUUUGGAGACUGUAGGAACAACCUCACAGUUUUUGUGUAUCUGCAAGUUCCUUGAGUUGUAUACUCCAAAAUUUUUACCAUAUUAAAAAUAUUAAGUUAGACUCUGAUGAAGCAACAGAUCCUGCAAAUCAGGAGGGAAGUAACAAUAUAUUUCCUUUGCUGCUACUGCCUACUUCCCCAUUUUCAAAUCAAACUGCAGUGGCACAGUGUAGAAAAAGGUUUUCCCAUAUCAAUCCUUUUAUGCUGCGGAGGGAAGGUCAAACAGAUUUGAAUCAGGAGCAGAGUGAAACUCAGUCACUUGAAAAGCAACCCAUCAGUUCCCUGUUCCUGUCUGAGCUUGCUGUAAAAAAAAAAAAAAAAAAACAAUCAGGAAUUCAGAAUGAUGAAUUCCUAGGGAACAGCUACAUUAGGUAAAAAACAGGAAACAGACUUGGCUUCCCAGUGAGCCCUGCCACUGAUGUAACAUCAGACCAUCUCCCUCUCUGUGCCUUAACUUCCAUUUCUGUGACCUCUGUUGGAAGGGAUCUCAUACCUCGAGAUUGGGGGAGCUGUCCUAGGGAAGGGACUCGGGGGCUUUGGGCUGAGGGCAAGUGGAACAGGAGCCAGCAGUGUCCUGGCAGCCCCAAGGGCCAGCCCUGCCCCGGGGGACAUCAGGGGGGUGGGUGACUGUCCUGCUCUGCUCUGCUCUGCUCUGCUCUGGGGCAGCCUCACCUCCAGCCCUGGGAACAGUUUGGGCCUCUCAGCACACAAAGGACAGCUGAGGGCUGGAGUUGUGUCCAGAGGAGGGGACCAGGAUUGUGAAAGGUCCUGAGGGCAGGACUUGGGAGGAGCAGCUGAGGCCACCUGUGGGCCUCAGCUGGGAGGAGAGAAGCUGAGGGGUGAUCCCAUUGCUGUCUGCACCUUCCUCCCAGGGGUCAGGUGCUGAUCUCCCCCUUGUGGGACCAGCAAUGGACCUGAGGAGAUGGAAUGAAGCUGCCUCAGGGGAGGUUCUGGUGGGACAUUAGGAAAAGCUUCCUCACCCAGAGGCUGCUCAGUGCCUGGAAGAGGUUCCCCAGGGAAGCGGUCACAGCACCACGUUCAGGGAGUGUCUGGACAACACUUGUACUGUUGGUUUCAUUUUAGGUGGUCCUGGCAGGAUCAGGGUUUUGGACUCAAUGAUCCUUAUGGAUCCCCUCCAGCUUGAGCUAUUCUGGGAUUCUGUGAACUUUUGUUAACGUAAACCUAUCUCUUUGUAAUGCUUUUAUGACUUAAUUUAUUCUGACAUGGAUUUUUCAACCCUGCUGGUCCAUUAGUCCCACAAGACCCAAUCUGUGCAGGGCUGUUAUGCUCUGGGAGUUGUUUUGCUGCAAUUCAUCCCCACAACAUCCUGCUAUUCCCAGGAUGGCAGCAGCAUGCACACGUCACUCCUGUCCUCACCCACAGUUACGUCCCAAAGCCUGACACAGACGUCAUAAAACAUGAAGCCCCAGGAAGCUGCUGCCAUCCACAGCUUGUAUUCCCACUGGGAAGGUCACUGCAAUGCUGUGUAUCAGUUUCAUACUUUCUAGGGGGAUGUUUUGUGAGGAGAACUGGGUCUGGGCUGCCACAGCACAUGCUCCAUGCUGGAACCAGAGCUGAGCAGAACAGGAGCUCCUGUGGCACCCCUCAGGUGAACUGUACAGCAUCCCCGUCACCACUGUGAUCACAAGAGACUCUGCUAUUUUCCUCUCAUGCCAAUGCUGAACAGAACAAAGAGCACAAGAGCUGUGCAGAGGAAAGCAUUUUGCACUUUACCCCAUUCUGCUCCAGCAGCUCCCCUGGGUGCAGUUGUGCACUUGUGGUCACACCAGGCCCAUGAGCUGUGACCCACUGCACACCUGCUGGCUUAACAGCACUAACUUCU
Long non-coding RNA from Vidua chalybeata, 2168 nucleotides. RefSeq lists it as uncharacterized. Lineage: Eukaryota; Metazoa; Chordata; Aves; Passeriformes; Viduidae. The record is from RefSeq and is a predicted model, not a curated record. The transcript is spliced from 3 exons.